AAUUCUCAACCUCAUAACGUUUUCGAACGGUCCUUGAGGCUUGGACUUUGGAGCGUGUCGGCCUCUUUUCUUAAAGAAGUCGACUCCUCUUUAAAUGCAUUAGCUGGAACCUCUUGUGGACCAGACUACGGUGUGAUAAUUAUCUACGCUGUGGCCUUGUGAAGCACUUUGUUACGAGGUUCUGCUUCUAACCGUCCCUUACACGGACAAUGAUCUUAAUUGAUUGACA
Molecule: unclassified non-coding RNA, 229 nt
Filed under: Typhula variabilis
Lineage: Eukaryota; Fungi; Basidiomycota; Agaricomycetes; Agaricales; Typhulaceae
Description: partial internal transcribed spacer 2
Source: RNAcentral